UGGGGAAUAUUGGACAAUGGGCGAAAGCCUGAUCCAGCCAUGCCGCGUGAGUGAUGAAGGCCCUAGGGUUGUAAAGCUCUUUCGGCGGGGACGAUAAUGACGGUACCCGCAGAAGAAGCCCCGGCUAACUUCGUGCCAGCAGCCGCGGUAAUACGAAGGGGGCUAGCGUUGUUCGGAAUCACUGGGCGUAAAGCGCAUGCAGGCGGAUCGUUAAGUCGGGGGUGAAAGCCCGAGGCUCAACCUCGGAAUUGCCUUCGAUACUGGCGAUCUUGAGUCCGGGAGAGGUGAGUGGAACUCCGAGUGUAGAGGUGAAAUUCGUAGAUAUUCGGAAGAACACCAGUGGCGAAGGCGGCUCACUGGCCCGGUACUGACGCUGAGAUGCGAAAGCGUGGGGAGCAAA
This 400-nucleotide ribosomal RNA is filed under the name uncultured bacterium. RNAcentral's name for it is "bacterial SSU rRNA". It matches the Rfam family "Bacterial small subunit ribosomal RNA", at positions 355 to 772 of the family's 1533-position model. The record is from RNAcentral.